RNAcentral lists this ribosomal RNA (187 nucleotides) under uncultured bacterium. Its description in RNAcentral is "partial 16S ribosomal RNA". It matches the Rfam family "Bacterial small subunit ribosomal RNA", at positions 1313 to 1500 of the family's 1533-position model. The record is from RNAcentral.
CGCCUUCAUGAAGCCGGAAUUGCUAGUAAUGGCAGGUCAGCAUACUGCCGUGAAUACGUUCCCGGGCCUUGUACACACCGCCCGUCACACCAUGAGAGUUGGGAAUACCCGAAGCCUGUGAGCUAACGUUAAGAGGCAGCAGUCGAAGGUAGAAUCAAUGAUUGGGGUGAAGUCGUAACAAGGUAUC